This 198-nucleotide small nucleolar RNA is filed under the name Nannospalax galili (Upper Galilee mountains blind mole rat). RNAcentral describes it as "Small nucleolar RNA U3 (ENSNGAG00000006485.1)". It matches the Rfam family "Small nucleolar RNA U3". From Rfam's summary of the family: Small nucleolar RNAs (snoRNAs) are involved in the processing and modification of rRNA in the nucleolus. There are two main classes of snoRNAs: the box C/D class, and the box H/ACA class. U3 snoRNA is a member of the box C/D class. The record is from Rfam by way of RNAcentral. Lineage: Eukaryota; Metazoa; Chordata; Mammalia; Rodentia; Spalacidae.
GAGACACCACGCCCAGCAAGGAAUCAUUUCUAUAGUUCAUAACUAGAGAAGUUUCUCUGACUAUGUAGAGGGAGGAUGAGACGUAGCACUCCCUCCUGAGCAUGAAGUUGACUCUUGGUGCUGCUUUACUGCAUCUGCCUUUGCCAUUGAUGAUCUUCUCUUCCUUUGGGAGAAUUAUAGGGAGGGAGUAAAGUCUGA